RNAcentral lists this ribosomal RNA (253 nucleotides) under uncultured bacterium. Its description in RNAcentral is "partial 16S ribosomal RNA". It matches the Rfam family "Bacterial small subunit ribosomal RNA", at positions 524 to 776 of the family's 1533-position model. The record is from RNAcentral.
UACAGAGGUGGCAAGCGUUGUUCGGAAUUACUGGGCGUAAAGGGCGCGUAGGCGGCCUGUUAAGUCCCGUGUGAAAUCCCUCGGCUCAACCGAGGAACUGCACGGGAAACUGGCGGGCUUGAGUUCGGGAGAGGGAAGCGGAAUUCCGGGUGUAGCGGUGAAAUGCGUAGAUAUCCGGAGGAACACCGGUGGCGAAGGCGGCUUCCUGGACCGACACUGACGCUGAGGCGCGAAAGCUAGGGGAGCAAACGGG